RNAcentral lists this long non-coding RNA (906 nucleotides) under Salvia miltiorrhiza (redroot sage). RNAcentral describes it as "long non-coding RNA (SMIL_LNC011045)". Lineage: Eukaryota; Viridiplantae; Streptophyta; Magnoliopsida; Lamiales; Lamiaceae. The record is from RNAcentral.
UCCGCUCAUUGCAGCACCAUCAUCACAUCAGCUCAACCUGCACAUUUAGAAAACAUAUGCAGGGCUGAGUACAAAAGCACUCAGUGGGCACGUAUGCCUAGGUAUAAAAAUACAUGCUUCAAAACUGUAAAUUGUCAUGCCAUCAUAAACAGUACAGCAAGGGAGUUUUUCGCUAAAAAGGCCCAAGCUUACUAAAUUCAUUUGUGAUUCUUAAAGUUCGACUGAUCAGUCUAAGUUCUCUUGUAAUCUAUCAUAUCUGAAACUGUGUGCCGGAGAGUGGCCACCUCUCACGGUCACUUGACCGGCCAACCCGCUAGAUGACUCACGGUCACUGGUGUACACUAGUCCUGGCAGGAUAGCUAUCAACUGCUCAGGACCCGAAUUCGAUUGCAUCAUUGGCAAAGCCAAAGCAGAUAGAUAUCAUACUAAAAUUUAAACAUUUAUGCAAGACAAUACUUGAAAUAACUUUAACUCAAAGAUUUUGUCAUGAAAUAACUUGCUCAAAGGUAGACAUUAAACUCGUUUGAUAGAUAUAUAAAACUGAAAUUAACAGUUAAAUCAUCUCAUGCAUUCAUUCGUAUAAGAGGCCUACGACAAGCAGGGGAUCUCUAUAUACGUAUAAUAAAAGUAAUGCCUACCUUAUUCGUUCCCACUAGGGGCGUAGAGUUACCUCCUUCUUUAGCUUUCACUUCCCGUCUGGACCUUUAUUGACGAAGAGUCGAUAAGUUCGAGAAGAAAGUCGUGUAAGAAAGGAAAAUAGGUCUCUAAACUAAACUAUCUCCUUUAAUGAUUUUAGGGUUCUAGCAUCCAUAUUAAUCUUGUCUCAUCAAAACCUUAAACUCAAAACAUUUAUCACAUAACUAACAUUUAGGUUCGAACUAUUUAUUCGAACAUCAACAUGCGCAU